UUUCCCCCGGGGAAACUAGCAUAUCAAUAAGCGGAGGAAAAGAAACUAACAAGGAUUCCCCUAGUAACUGCGAGUGAAGCGGGAAAAGCUCAAAUUUAAAAUCCCUUCCGGGAGUUGUAAUCUAGAGACGUGUUUUCGGUCGUUGCCUCGGACAAGUCCCUUGGAAUAGGGCGUCAUAGAGGGUGAGAAUCCCGUACUUGCCGAGCUCCCAAUGACUAUGUGAUACACGUUCGAAGAGUCGAGUUGUUUGGGAAUGCAGCUCAAAAUGGGUGGUAAACUCCAUCUAAAGCUAAAUAUUGGCGAGAGACCGAUAGCGAACAAGUACCGUGAGGGAAAGAUGAAAAGCACUUUGGAAAGAGAGUUAAACAGUACGUGAAAUUGUUGAAAGGGAAGCGCUUGAAGUCAGUCGCGUUGCAGGGACUCAGCCGUCAAGGUGCAUUUCUCUGUAACGGGUCAACAUCAAUUUCGGCCGCGGGAAAAGGGCUUGGGGAAUGUGGCAGCUUCGGCUGUGUUAUAGCCUCUUGUCGUACACCGCGGCCGGGAUUGAGGACUGCUAUUACAGGAUGUUGACAAAAUGGCUUUAAGCGACCCGUCUUGAAACACGGACCAAGGAGUCUAACAUGUCUGCGAGUGUUCGGGUGUCAAACCCGUGCGCGUAAUGAAAGUAAACGUAGGUGGGAGGCUUCGGCCGCACCAUCGACCGAUCCGGAUCUCUUGUGAUGGAUUUGAGUAAGAGCAUAUAUGUUGGGACCCGAAAGAUGGUGAACUAUGCCUGAAUAGGGCGAAGCCAGAGGAAACUCUGGUGGAGGCUCGUAGCGAUUCUGACGUGCAAAUCGAUCGUCAAAUUUGGGUAUAGGGGCGAAAGACUAAUCGAACCAUCUAGUAGCUGGUUCCUGCCGAGC
This 902-nucleotide ribosomal RNA is filed under the name Dacryopinax spathularia. RNAcentral describes it as "LSU rRNA". It matches the Rfam family "Eukaryotic large subunit ribosomal RNA", at positions 24 to 966 of the family's 3401-position model. Lineage: Eukaryota; Fungi; Basidiomycota; Dacrymycetes; Dacrymycetales; Dacrymycetaceae. The record is from RNAcentral.